Molecule: unclassified non-coding RNA, 352 nt
Filed under: soil metagenome
Description: partial contains 5.8S ribosomal RNA, internal transcribed spacer 2, and large subunit ribosomal RNA
Rfam family: 5.8S ribosomal RNA (bases 1-120)
Source: RNAcentral
GAUGAAGAACGUAGCGAAAUGCGAUAAGUAAUGUGAAUUGCAGAAUUCAGUGAAUCAUCGAAUCUUUGAACGCACAUUGCGCCCGCCAGUAUUCUGGCGGGCAUGCCUGUUCGAGCGUCAUUUCAACCCUCAGGCCCCCAGUGCCUGGUGUUGGGGAUCGGCCCAGCCUUCCUGUAAGGCCGCCGGCCCCGAAAUCUAGUGGCGGUCUCGCUGUAGUCCUCCUCUGCGUAGUAGCACAACCUCGCAGUUGGAACGCGGCGGUGGCCAUGCCGUUAAACACCCCACUUCUGAAAGUUGACCUCGGAUCAAGUAGGAAUACCCGCUGAACUUAAGCAUAUCAAUAAGCGGAGGA